CUCCAGUCGAUCCUGCUGGAGGGUACUGCUAUCAGAGUUCGGCUAAGCCAUGCAAGUCAGCUCUCCCACCUGGGAGGGCGGCGUACGGCUCAUUAGCACGUGGUCAAUCUACCCUAAGGACGUGGAUAAAGUCGGGAAACUGACUGUAACCCGCGAUGGUCCAUCGGUGCUGGAAUGCUAGAUGGAUGAAACCGUGUGAGGAAUUGGACUCACGUGGCCUUAGGAUGAGACUGCGCCUGAUUAGGUAGUUGGUGGGGUAACGGCCCACCAAGCCAAUAAUCAGUGGGGGCAUUGGGAGAUGGAGCCCCGAGAAGGGCACUGAGACAAGGGCCCUAGUCCUACGGGAUGCAGCAGGCGCGAAAACUCUGCAAUGCGCGAAAGCGUGACAGGGGAACUCUGAGUGGUAGGCUUUUAGCCUAUCUUUUGGCGAGCCUAGACAGCUCGCAGAAUAAGUUCCGGGCAAGACCAGUGCCAGCCGCCGCGGUAACACUGGCGGAGCGAGUGGUACCCACGAAUAUUGGGCUUAAAGAGUCCGUAGCUGGCUUCCUAAGUUUCCUGUGAAAUCUCCGGGCUCAACCCGGAGGCGUGCAGGGAAUACUGAGAAGCUUGAGAGCGGGGGAGGUCAGGGGUACUUUCGGGGUAGGAGUAAAAUCCUGUAAUCCUGAAAGGACCACCAGUGGCGAAGGCGCCUGACCAAAACGCGUCUGACAGUGAGGGACGAAGGCUAGGAGAACGAAUCGGAUUAGAUACCCGAGUAGCCCUAGCAGUAAAUUAUGCAGACUGUGGUGUUGCAGUGGCCUUGAGCUGCUGCAGUGCCGUAGCGUAAGUGUUAAGUCUGCCGCCUGGGGAGUACGGCCGCAAGGUUGAAACUUAAAGGAAUUGGCGGGGGAGCACCACAAGGGGUGGAGGCUGCGGUUCAAUUGGAUUCAACGCCGGGAAUAUUACCAAGAGCGACGGCAGUAUGAAGGCCAGACUAAAGAUCUUGCCUGACGAGCCGAGAGGUGGUGCAUGGCCAUCGUCAGCUCGUGGUGUGAACUGUCCGGUUAAGUCCGGCAAACCUCCCGAACCCA
This 1070-nucleotide ribosomal RNA is filed under the name Candidatus Burarchaeum australiense. RNAcentral's name for it is "16S ribosomal RNA (partial)". It matches the Rfam family "Archaeal small subunit ribosomal RNA", at positions 1 to 1054 of the family's 1478-position model. Lineage: Archaea; Nanobdellati; Microcaldota; Candidatus Micrarchaeia; Candidatus Burarchaeales; Candidatus Burarchaeaceae. RNAcentral also lists the same sequence under 1 other name. The record is from RNAcentral.